GUGGGGAAUAUUGGACAAUGGGCGAAAGCCUGAUCCAGCCAUGCCGCGUGUGUGAAGAAGGUCUUCGGAUUGUAAAGCACUUUAAGUUGGGAGGAAGGGCAGUAAGUUAAUACCUUGCUGUUUUGACGUUACCGACAGAAUAAGCACCGGCUAACUUCGUGCCAGCAGCCGCGGUAAUACGAAGGGUGCAAGCGUUAAUCGGAAUUACUGGGCGUAAAGCGCGCGUAGGUGGUUCGGUAAGAUGGAAGUGAAAGCCCCGGGCUCAACCUGGGAACUGCUUUCAUAACUGCCGAGCUAGAGUACGGUAGAGGGUAGUGGAAUUUCCUGUGUAGCGGUGAAAUGCGUAGAUAUAGGAAGGAACACCAGUGGCGAAGGCGACUACCUGGACUGAUACUGACACUGAGGUGCGAAAGCGUGGGGAGCAAACAGGAUUAGAUACCCGGGUAGUCC
This 450-nucleotide ribosomal RNA is filed under the name uncultured bacterium. Its description in RNAcentral is "partial 16S ribosomal RNA". It matches the Rfam family "Bacterial small subunit ribosomal RNA", at positions 354 to 796 of the family's 1533-position model. The record is from RNAcentral.